This 413-nucleotide ribosomal RNA is filed under the name Aneides aeneus. RNAcentral's name for it is "partial small subunit ribosomal RNA". It matches the Rfam family "Bacterial small subunit ribosomal RNA", at positions 774 to 1410 of the family's 1533-position model. Lineage: Eukaryota; Metazoa; Chordata; Amphibia; Caudata; Plethodontidae. The record is from RNAcentral.
GGGAUUAGAUACCCCACUAUAUUUAGCCUUAAACUUUUAUUCGCCUGAGCAUUACGAGCCACAGCUUAAAAUUCAAAGGACUUGGCGGUGCUCUAUANCCCCCUAGAGGAGCCUGUUCUAUAAUCGAUAAUCCCCGAUAAACCUCACCACCCCUUGCUAAUACAGCUUAUAUACCACCGUCCUCAGCUUACCCUUUGAAGGAAAAAAAGUAAACAAAAAAAUUUAAAAUAAAAAAGUCAGGUCAAGGUGUAGCAUAUGGGAUGGAAAGAAAUGGGCUACAUUUUCUACUUUAGAAAAUACGAAAUGUCUUAUGAAAUAAAAUAUAAAGGAGGAUUUAGAAGUAAAGAAAAAAAAGAGUGUUCUCUUUAAACAGGCAAUAGAGCACGCACACACCGCCCGUCACCCUCCUCAAA